UGGGGAAUAUUGGGCAAUGGAGGCAACUCUGACCCAGCAACGCCGCGUGAAGGAUGAAGGUUUUCGGAUUGUAAACUUCUGUCGCAGGGGACGAAGAAUGACGGUACCCUGUAAGAAAGCCACGGCAAACUACGUGCCAGCAGCCGCGGUAAUACGUAGGUGGCGAGCGUUGUCCGGAAUGACUGGGUGUAAAGGGAGUGUAGGCGGUUUGUUAAGUUAUCUGUGAAAGCCCCGAGCUUAACUCGGGAACUGCAGAUAAGACUGGCUAACUCGAGUACGGGAGAGGUAAGUGGAAUUCCUAGUGUAGCGGUGGAAUGCGUAGAUAUUAGGAGGAACACCAGUGGCGAAGGCGACUUACUGGACCGUAACUGACGCUGAAACUCGAAAGCGUGGGGAGCAAACA
This 403-nucleotide ribosomal RNA is filed under the name uncultured Eubacteriales bacterium. RNAcentral describes it as "uncultured Clostridiales bacterium partial 16S ribosomal RNA". It matches the Rfam family "Bacterial small subunit ribosomal RNA", at positions 355 to 774 of the family's 1533-position model. The record is from RNAcentral. Lineage: Bacteria; Bacillati; Bacillota; Clostridia; Eubacteriales.